RNAcentral lists this ribosomal RNA (305 nucleotides) under uncultured bacterium. RNAcentral describes it as "bacterial SSU rRNA". It matches the Rfam family "Bacterial small subunit ribosomal RNA", at positions 334 to 656 of the family's 1533-position model. The record is from RNAcentral.
AAUGCCUACGGGGCGCAGCAGUGGGGAAUAUUGCACAAUGGGGGAAACCCUGAUGCAGCGACGCCGCGCGAGUGAAGAAGUAUUUCGGUAUGUAAAGCUCUAUCAGCAGGGAAGAUAAUGACGGUACCUGACUAAGAAGCCCCGGCUAACUACGUGCCAGCAGCCGCGGUAAUACGUAGGUGGCAAGCGUUGUUCGGAAUAACUGGGCGUAAAGGAUGCGUAGGCGGUUAAACAAGUUAUAUGUUAAAUAUAUAGGCUUAACCUGUAGAAAGCAUAUAAAACUGUUUAACUAGAGUGCAGGAGAG